GGCCUGCCAAUGCUUACCACAGGCUGUGUUCUUUACACUGACUAUAGAUAGAGUAGGUACAGUAAAUGUACCCCAUAUACACCUCAACCCAGGCCCUGCCUGCUGUUUAUUGUGAAUGGGGGGACAAAA
This is a small nucleolar RNA of Suncus etruscus (white-toothed pygmy shrew), 129 nucleotides long. RefSeq annotates it as small nucleolar RNA SNORA51. Lineage: Eukaryota; Metazoa; Chordata; Mammalia; Eulipotyphla; Soricidae. The transcript has a single exon. The record is from RefSeq and is a predicted model, not a curated record.